AUUGCUUAACCUUUUGGCUAAGAUCAAGUACAGUAUCUGUCCUAAUUAGCUCAAUAUCUGAUAAUGUCUUCUAUCCUAGGACAAUAUAGGAAAUGGAUUUUUGGAAUUAGAAAAUGGAAUAGGAACUUACUUGUCUACUUCACGUAUCAACCUGGUAUUCCAUUACUUCCAGGAACAGUGCGCACACA
RNAcentral lists this small nuclear RNA (188 nucleotides) under Dasypus novemcinctus (nine-banded armadillo). RNAcentral's name for it is "U2 spliceosomal RNA (ENSDNOG00000026231.1)". It matches the Rfam family "U2 spliceosomal RNA". Rfam says of the family: U2 is a small nuclear RNA (snRNA) component of the spliceosome (involved in pre-mRNA splicing). The record is from RNAcentral. Lineage: Eukaryota; Metazoa; Chordata; Mammalia; Cingulata; Dasypodidae.